Molecule: non-coding RNA, 236 nt
Organism: Biomphalaria pfeifferi
Lineage: Eukaryota; Metazoa; Mollusca; Gastropoda; Planorbidae
Source: the annotation of a GenBank genome assembly
UCAAAACUAAGUGUUUUUUUUUAAUGUCUUUUGUGGGGCGCUAAACUACUUUUAAUGCAUCGCACUCACCAAUAUUUUCCAACUAAAAUUGUGCAACAGAAAACAGUAUUGGCUAACUCUUCUUUAUGCUAAACAAUUGUUCCAAAUUUAAAACACAUUUAAGUUCAGUAUUUUUAACAUCAACUCUUACUCUAUUUUUUUCCCCCAAUAGCUGUCUUCAUUAACAAGACUGGAGU